AGUGAACGCUGGCGGUAGGCCUAACACAUGCAAGUCGAACGGCAGCACAGUAAGAGCUUGCUCUUACGGGUGGCGAGUGGCGUACGGGGGAGGAAUACAUCGGAAUCUACUUUUUCGUGGGGGAUAACGUAGGGAAACUUACGCUAAUACCGCAUACGACCUACGGGUGAAAGCAGGGGAUCUUCGGACCUUGCGCGAUUGAAUGAGCCGAUGUCGGAUUAGCUAGUUGGCGGGGUAAAGGCCCACCAAGGCGACGAUCCGUAGCUGGUCUGAGAGGAUGAUCAGCCACACUGGAGCUGAGACACGGUCCAGACUCCUACGGGAGGCAGCAGUGGGGAAUAUUGGACAAUGGGCGCAAGCCUGAUCCAGCCAUACCGCGUGGGUGAAGAAGGCCUUCGGGUUGUAGAGCCCUUUUGUUGGGAAAGAAAAGCAGCAGGUUAAUACCCCGCUGUUCUGACGGUACCCAACGAAUAAGCACCGGCUAACUUCGUG
This 492-nucleotide ribosomal RNA is filed under the name uncultured bacterium. RNAcentral describes it as "partial 16S ribosomal RNA". It matches the Rfam family "Bacterial small subunit ribosomal RNA", at positions 29 to 507 of the family's 1533-position model. The record is from RNAcentral.